RNAcentral lists this ribosomal RNA (253 nucleotides) under uncultured bacterium. RNAcentral describes it as "partial 16S ribosomal RNA". It matches the Rfam family "Bacterial small subunit ribosomal RNA", at positions 524 to 776 of the family's 1533-position model. RNAcentral also lists the same sequence under 1 other name. The record is from RNAcentral.
UACGAAGGGGGCUAGCGUUGCUCGGAAUUACUGGGCGUAAAGGGCGCGUAGGCGGACAGUUUAGUCAGAGGUGAAAGCCCAGGGCUCAACCUUGGAAUAGCCUUUGAUACUGACUGUCUUGAGUUCGGGAGAGGUGAGUGGAAUGCCGAGUGUAGAGGUGAAAUUCGUAGAUAUUCGGCGGAACACCAGUGGCGAAGGCGACUCACUGGCCCGAUACUGACGCUGAGGCGCGAAAGCGUGGGGAGCAAACAGG